Non-coding RNA from Pelobates cultripes (western spadefoot toad), 216 nucleotides. The record is from the annotation of a GenBank genome assembly. Lineage: Eukaryota; Metazoa; Chordata; Amphibia; Anura; Pelobatidae.
UGCAGAACUCUCAGCUCUUUUGGCACGUUUGCCUUUGAGAAACAUUGUUUUAUUUUUAAGGGAACAACAUUUUUACGAAAGGUUGUACCAUCUCUUUAUCCUAAUAGUUUUUUGAAGUAAAAGGCGGGAUGCAAUCAUGUGGCAAAGAAUCUUUGUUUUUAUUGUGGGGACCUUGGAACAGAAGUGAAUUAAGAAUGACUGACUGUUGUAUUGUAA